GUGUGUAUGUCUGUGUGUGUAUGUGUCAGUAUGUCUGUGUGUGUGUGUAUGUCAGUAUGUCUGUCAUAGACACACACAGACAUACUGACAUACAUACACAAACAGACAU
Molecule: microRNA precursor, 109 nt
Filed under: Pelobates cultripes (western spadefoot toad)
Lineage: Eukaryota; Metazoa; Chordata; Amphibia; Anura; Pelobatidae
Source: RNAcentral